Molecule: ribosomal RNA, 495 nt
Filed under: uncultured bacterium
Lineage: Bacteria
Description: bacterial SSU rRNA
Rfam family: Bacterial small subunit ribosomal RNA
Source: RNAcentral
GGUUCAGGAUGAACGCUGGCGGCGUGCUUAACACAUGCAAGUCGAACGGAGUUUUAACGGAAGUUUCGGAUGGAAGUUUAAGAACUUAGUGGCGGACGGGUGAGUAACGCGUGGGUAACCUGCCUCAUACAGGGGGAUAACAGUUAGAAAUGACUGCUAACACCGCAUAAUAUAGCGAAACCGCAUGAUUUUUGCUAUCAAAUAUUUAUAGGUAUGAGAUGGGCCCGCGUCUGAUUAGCUAGUUGGUGGGGUAAAAGCCUACCAAGGCGACGAUCAGUAGCCGGCUUGAGAGAGUGACCGGCCACAUUGGGACUGAGACACGGCCCAAACUCCUACGGGAGGCAGCAGUGGGGAAUAUUGGACAAUGGGGGAAACCCUGAUCCAGCCGACGCCGCGUGAGUGAAGAAGUAUUUCGGUAUGUAAAGCUCUAUCAGCAGGGAAGAUAAUGACAGUACCUGACUAAGAAGCCCCGGCUAACUACGUGCCAGCCGCGGC